CCUACGGGGGGCUGCAGUGGGGGAUAUUGCACAAUGGGGGGAACCCUGAUGCAGCGACGCCGCGUGGGUGAAGAAGCGCCUCGGCGCGUAAAGCCCUGUCAGCAGGGAAGAAAAUGACGGUACCUGAAGAAGAAGCCCCGGCUAACUACGUGCCAGCAGCCGCGGUCAUACGUAGGGGACAAGCGUUAUCCGGAUUUACUGGAUGUAAAGGGGGCGCAGACGGCGAUGCAAGCCAGGAGGGAAAGCCCGGGGGCCAACCCCGGGACUGCGCUUGGAACUGCGUGGCUGGAGUGCAGGAGGGGCAGGCGGAAUGCCUGGUGUAGCGGUGAAAUGCGUAGAUAUCAGGAGGAACACCGGUGGCGAAGGCGGCCUGCUGGACUGCAACUGACGUUGAGGCCCGAAAGCGUGGGGAGCAAACAGGAUUAGAUACCCUUGUAGUC
RNAcentral lists this ribosomal RNA (440 nucleotides) under uncultured bacterium. RNAcentral's name for it is "partial 16S ribosomal RNA". It matches the Rfam family "Bacterial small subunit ribosomal RNA", at positions 338 to 795 of the family's 1533-position model. The record is from RNAcentral.